GCCCAGUGCUCUGAAUGU
This 18-nucleotide non-coding RNA is filed under the name Arabidopsis thaliana (thale cress). RNAcentral also lists the same sequence under 1 other name. The record is from RNAcentral. Lineage: Eukaryota; Viridiplantae; Streptophyta; Magnoliopsida; Brassicales; Brassicaceae.